AUGAUUUCUGUAACAACGCAGGAAACAAAAGCUGGCGUGGGCUCCCGUUCUGCGCCCGCUGCGUCGCCCGAAUUGUGCGAGUCCCUGUCGCGCUCGCCGGCCCCGAGGCGGAUGGGGGAAGGCCCGGCAUGGCGUGCCGCUUUUAUUAGUGCUUGGCCAUGGUCAGUCACGGAGGAGGAGCUAUGCAAGUGCGGGUUAAUCAUUGCCUGCGCGAUGUCGACGCCCCUUCCGAUGGUCACACAGGACAAAACAGUGGCUGCCGUGCUGCGCGCCCGACGGGGGCAAUGGCAUCGUCUCACAUGGGGCGCCGGCGCUGCCUGCCUGCCUUUUCCCGUCUCCUUGAGUGGGUGUGCAUGCCGUGCCAACGUCUUUUAA
This 375-nucleotide ribosomal RNA is filed under the name Triticum aestivum (bread wheat). RNAcentral's name for it is "partial small subunit ribosomal RNA". Lineage: Eukaryota; Viridiplantae; Streptophyta; Magnoliopsida; Poales; Poaceae. The record is from RNAcentral.